Molecule: ribosomal RNA, 460 nt
Filed under: uncultured bacterium
Lineage: Bacteria
Description: partial 16S ribosomal RNA
Rfam family: Bacterial small subunit ribosomal RNA
Source: RNAcentral
CCUACGGGUGGCAGCAGUGAGGAAUAUUGGUCAAUGGGCGCAAGCCUGAACCAGCCAAGUAGCGUGAAGGAUGACUGCCCUACGGGUUGUAAACUUCUUUUAUAAGGGAAUAAAGUGAGGCACGUGUGCCUUUUUGUCUGUACUUUAUGAAUAAGGAUCGGCUAACUCCGUGCCAGCAGCCGCGGUAAUACGGAGGAUCCGAGCGUUAUCCGGAUUUAUUGGGUUUAAAGGGAGCGUAGAUGGGUUGUUAAGUCAGUUGUGAAAGUUUGGGGCUAAACCGUAAAAUUGCAAUUGAUACUGGCAGGCUUGAGUACAGUGGAGGUAGGCGGAAUUCGUGGUGUAGCGGUGAAAUGCUUAGAUAUCACGAAGAACUCCGAUUGCGAAGGCAGCUUACUAGACUGCCACUGACACUGAUGCUCGAAAGCGUGGGUAGCAAACAGGAUUAGAUACCCGAGUAGUC